Molecule: transfer RNA, 75 nt
Filed under: Candidatus Gottesmanbacteria bacterium RIFCSPLOWO2_01_FULL_48_11
Lineage: Bacteria; Candidatus Gottesmaniibacteriota
Description: tRNA-Lys
Rfam family: tRNA
About the family: Transfer RNA (tRNA) molecules are approximately 80 nucleotides in length. Their secondary structure includes four short double-helical elements and three loops (D, anti-codon, and T loops). Further hydrogen bonds mediate the characteristic L-shaped molecular structure. tRNAs have two regions of fundamental functional importance: the anti-codon, which is responsible for specific mRNA codon recognition, and the 3' end, to which the tRNAs corresponding amino acid is attached (by aminoacyl-tRNA synthetases). tRNAs cope with the degeneracy of the genetic code in two manners: having more than one tRNA (with a specific anti-codon) for a particular amino acid; and 'wobble' base-pairing, i.e. permitting non-standard base-pairing at the 3rd anti-codon position.
Source: RNAcentral
GGGCCCAUAGCUCAACGGCAGAGCAGCAGACUUUUAAUCUGUUGGUUGAUGGUUCGAAUCCAUCUGGGCUCACAA